AGGGCACUAAAUGGAUGCCUAGACGUAUAUUACCGAUGAAGGACGUGGAAGACUGCGAUAAGCUUCGGGUAGCUGUCAACAAGCUUUGAUCCGGAGAUUUCCGAAUGGGGAAACCCAGCAUGAGUCAUGUCAUGUUGCCACUUGCUGAACACAUAGGCAAGCGAGCGGGAACCAUCUGAACUGAAACAUCUUAGUAGGAUGAGGAAGAGAAAGUAAAUAACGAUUGCGAAAGUAGUGGCGAGCGAAAUCGCAACAGCCCAAACCUUUUAAGUUUUUGCCUAUUAAUUUAGGCAAAUAAGUUGAUAGACGAAUACUUAUAAGGGGUUGUGAUAUUACAUAUGACCAAGUCAGAGAAUUUGAUUCAUUCAAAUAAUCUGAUUUGCGAUAACUGGCUAUCAACAGUUAGUAAGGUAAGAAAUCGGCGUGGUUAGUAGAAUAGUUUGAAUGACUAGCCAAAGAACGUGAAAGCCGUGUAUAUGAAAACGACGCUGACCUUAUGUAUGUUUUAUCGAGUAGGACGGGGCACGAGAAACCCUGUUUGAAUCUGGCUGGACCACCAGCCAAGGCUAAAUAUAAUAUACGAUCGAUAGUGAACUAGUACAGUGAUGGAAAGGUGAAAAGAACCCCGGGAGGGGAGUGAAAUAGAUCCUGAAAUUUAGUGCCUACAAGGAGUCGGAGCCGGCUUGUCCGGUGACGGCGUGCUUUUUGUAGAACGAUCCAGCGAGUUAAUUUUUACAGCGAGGUUAAGUCAAUUGACGGAGCCACAGUGAAAGCGAGCCUGAAUAGGGCGUUUAGUUGUAAGGAUUAGACCCGAAACCGGGUGACCUAACCAUGAGCAGGUUGAAGCCACUGUAACAGGUGGUGGAGGACCGAACCAGGAUACGCAGCAAAGUGUUUGGAUGACUUGUGGUUAGCGGUGAAAUGCCAAUCGAACUCGGAGAUAGCUGGUUCUCCUCGAAAUAGCUUUAGGGCUAGCGUCGUGUUAGUAGCACAUGGGGGUAGAGCUCUGUAAAGGACUGGGGCGGGCAACUGUACCCACCCUUAACAAACUACGAAUACCAUGUGUGUAAUCACGGCAGUUAGAACAUCGGUGCUAAGAUCGGUGCUCAAAAGGGAAACAGCCCAGACCAUCAUCUAAGGUCCCUAAAUUAACGUUCAGUGGGAAACAAGGUGAGAUUUCUUAAACAGCUAGGAUGUUGGCUUAGAAGCAGCCAUUCAUUUAAAGAGUGCGUAACAGCUCACUAGUCAAGAGAUCUUGCGUGGAAAAUGUAACGGGGCUAAACGUAAUACCGAAGACAUGGGUCUAUGCAUUAGCAUGGGCGGUAGAGGAGCGUUCCUAUCGGCAGUGAAGCAGCAUUGUAAAGUGCUGUGGAGCGGUAGGAAGUGAGAAUGCUGGAAUGAGUAACCAUAAGAGAGGUGAGAAUCCUCUCGGCCGUAAGAGCAAGGUUUCCUGAGCCAUGGUAAUCAUCUCAGGGUUAGUCGGGCCUAAGCCGAGGCGCAGAGCGUAGGCGAUGGACAUCAGGUUAAUAUUCCUGAACCGGUUAAGUUUUGUACACUGUUCACGGGGAAGUAAUCGAAGCGGAUUCAUGGUUUAUCCGUCCAACCGAGCGGGAACGCAAAGGGAGUGAAAGUGAUUCUUCGGAGUCGCGAUUUUGGUGAAAGCCCUGGCUAGAAAAGCAGGUGUACGCGUGGACUUAGCCGCCCGUACCGCAAACCAACACAGGUGCUCGAGUCGAGUAGACUCAGGCUUACGAGCGAACCUUCGCUAAGGAACUCGGCAAUACAGCGACCGUAACUUCGGGAUAAGGUCUGCCCCCACUUCGGUGGAUAUCAGCCGCGUUCACUCAGUGAAUAUUAGGUUAAAGAGUACAUUUUUAAUCACAAAACGAAUUUUCUGAGAUAGAGCAAACGAAUUGUUCUUUUGAACGCGAACCUCUGGCAUCUAACGAUGUGGGGGCCGCAGCAAAAGAGCCCACGGAACUGUUUAUCAAAAACACAGGUCUCUGCUAACACGAAAGUGGAUGUAUAGGGGCUGACUCCUGCCCAGUGCUGGAAGGUUAAGGGGAGUGCUUUACGGUGCGAACUGAAGCCCCAGUGAACGGCGGCGGUAACUAUAACCGUCCUAAGGUAGCGAAAUUCCUUGUCAGGUAAGUUCUGACCCGCACGAAUGGAGUAAUCAUGUGGGCACUGUCUCAGCGAAGGACUCGGUGAAAGUGCAUUGGCGGUAAAGAUGCCGUCUGUCCGUACCAGGACGAAAAGACCCCAUGGAGCUUUACUACAGCUUUACAUUGAAUACGGUUUCAACAUGUGUAGCAUAGGUGGGAGACGUUGAAGCAGAUACGCCAGUAUUUGUGGAGUCACCAAGUGAAAUACCACCCUUGUUGUGAUUGUGUUCUCACGCUGACCGUUAUCCGGUUAGCGGACCGUGUAUGGUGGGUAGUUUAACUGGGGCGGUUGCCUCCUAAAGAGUAGCGGAGGCGUUCA
Molecule: ribosomal RNA, 2484 nt
Filed under: human oral metagenome
Description: bacterial LSU rRNA
Rfam family: Bacterial large subunit ribosomal RNA
Source: RNAcentral